GUCGAGAAUCUUUCACAAUGGGGGCAACCCUGAUGGAGCGACGCCGCGUGGAGGAUAAGGUCUUCGGAUUGUAAACUCCUGUCAUGCGCGAACAAGGUUGCUUGGUUAAUACCUGGGCAAAUUGAUGGUAACGCAAGAGGAAGAGACGGCUAACUCUGUGCCAGCAGCCGCGGUAAUACAGAGGUCUCAAGCGUUGUUCGGAAUCACUGGGCGUAAAGGGUGCGUAGGUGGCGUGGUAAGUCAGAUGUGAAAGCCCGGGGCUCAACCUCGGAACUGCAUCCGAUACUGCCAUGCUAGAGUACUGGAGAGGUGACUAGAAUUCUCGGUGUAGCAGUGAAAUGCGUAGAUAUCGAGAGGAAUACCAAAGGCGUAGGCAGGUCACUGGACAGUUACUGACACUGAGGCACGAAGGCCAGGGGAGCGAACGGGAUUAGAUACCCUAGUAGUCC
This 449-nucleotide ribosomal RNA is filed under the name uncultured bacterium. Its description in RNAcentral is "partial 16S ribosomal RNA". It matches the Rfam family "Bacterial small subunit ribosomal RNA", at positions 354 to 796 of the family's 1533-position model. The record is from RNAcentral.